RNAcentral lists this ribosomal RNA (472 nucleotides) under uncultured bacterium. Its description in RNAcentral is "partial 16S ribosomal RNA". It matches the Rfam family "Bacterial small subunit ribosomal RNA", at positions 28 to 507 of the family's 1533-position model. The record is from RNAcentral.
GACGAACGCUGGCGGCGUGCUUAACACAUGCCAGUCGAACGCUGAAGCUUGGUGCUUGCACUGGGUGGAUGAGUGGCGAACGGGUGAGUAAUACGUGAGUAACCUGCCCUUGACUCUGGGAUAAGCCUGGGAAACUGGGUCUAAUACUGGAUAUGACAUGCCACUGCAUGGUGGUGUGUGGAAAGGGUUUUACUGGUUUUGGAUGGGCUCACGGCCUAUCAGCUUGUUGGUGGGGUAAUGGCCUACCAAGGCGACGACGGGUAGCCGGCCUGAGAGGGUGACCGGCCACACUGGGACUGAGACACGGCCCAGACUCCUACGGGGGGCAGCAGUGGGGAAUAUUGCACAAUGGGCGGAAGCCUGAUGCAGCGACGCCGCGUGAGGGAUGACGGCCUUAGGGUUGUAAACCUCUUUCAGCACGGAAGAAGCGAGAGUGACGGUACGUGCAGAAGAAGCGCCGGCUAACUACGUG